UUUUAGCCCAGAUAGCAGUGAAAAUCCUUUUUUAUCCUGAUUUUUUUCAGGAUAAAAAAGAUUGUAACGUAUAGCUGGAAAUAGC
Flavobacterium sp. is the source of this 85-nucleotide small RNA. It matches the Rfam family "Flavo-1 RNA". Lineage: Bacteria; Pseudomonadati; Bacteroidota; Flavobacteriia; Flavobacteriales; Flavobacteriaceae. The record is from Rfam.